Molecule: long non-coding RNA, 1123 nt
Filed under: Salmo salar (Atlantic salmon)
Lineage: Eukaryota; Metazoa; Chordata; Actinopteri; Salmoniformes; Salmonidae
Description: lncRNA (ENSSSAG00000090384.1)
Source: RNAcentral
GCCCAACAGAGAUCUCCCUUGUCCUUUGAAGAAUAUGUCUUGUGGUAGAACGGAUACGUUGUAGUACCGUCGUGUGUUUGGUAGAAGAGAUACUUUGUCCGUCAUUUCCUAGCCCACGUUUACAGCUGCUGCUGCUCACUCAACGGCUAGGAGGUAUCACUUCUUUAGUGAAUAAAAGUUCAAAGUUCAUACCAAGUUGCCGUACUUUAAGCUCACGCUGAAGUUGGCUUAGUUCUGUAGUUUGAUAUGAGCCCUUUUAACGUCUGGACCGUCGUCCUCACGUCCUCGGGAACACAAAUGUAAAACUUUCGUAAAGGCCGUGUUUCAUAGUUCACAACCAAUGUCUGUUCACUUGGGCGGGGCCACUGAAUCGAGCCAAGUUCACUUAUGAAAACCAAUUCUCUCAUUUAGAAGCAAAAAUUACAUUUCAUCUUUUCACAAAUAGUUUCAUAUUUAAAUUGCACAACAAUUCCAUGUGAAUCUGAUAACUAGAGGGUGUAGACUUUCCCAGGUCCAGUUCAUGUCGUCCUGUCAUCAGUCCUAAUGUCUCAGAUCUGAUCUGACAUCAGAUUCAUUAACUACCAACGCGUAUUUGGACUACCGAAAUCUGGUUCUGGUCCCGACCCUUUUCAUGUUUUCAGACUCUCUAUGUUAACAAAGGGCUUUCCAAGAGUCACUCUGUAGAGUAGAGAGAGAGAGGAAAGGUAUUUAUGGGGGUCAUAAACCUCAACAACAGGCCAACGUCAUGACAGUAGUGAUGGUAUCUCUCUCUCUCUCUCUCUCUUCAAGGUGGAGUACAGUAGUGAUGGUAUCUCUCUCUCUCUAGGUGGAGUACAGUAGUGAUGGUAUCUCUCUCUCUCUUCAAGGUGGAGUACAGUAGUGAUGGUAUCUCUCUCUCUCUCAAGGUGGAGUACAGUAGUGAUGGUAUCUCUCUCUCUCUCUCUAGGUGGAGUACAGUAAUGAUGGUAUCUCUCUCUCUCUAGGUGGAGUACAGUAAUGAUGGUAUCUCUCUCUAGGUGGAGUACAGUAAUGAUGGUAUCUCUCUCUCUCUAGGUGGAGUACUGUAAUGAUGGUAUCUCUCUCUCUAGGUGGAGUACAGUAAUGAUGGUAUCUCUCUCUCUCU